RNAcentral lists this ribosomal RNA (449 nucleotides) under Brucella melitensis. Its description in RNAcentral is "bacterial SSU rRNA". It matches the Rfam family "Bacterial small subunit ribosomal RNA", at positions 1 to 502 of the family's 1533-position model. Lineage: Bacteria; Pseudomonadati; Pseudomonadota; Alphaproteobacteria; Hyphomicrobiales; Brucellaceae. The record is from RNAcentral.
UUUGGAGAAUUUGAUCCUGGCUCAGAACGAACGCUGGCGGCAGGCUUAACACAUGCAAGUCGAGCGCCCCGCAAGGGGAGCGGCAGACGGGUGAGUAACGCGUGGGAACGUACCAUUUGCUACGGAAUAACUCAGGGAAACUUGUGCUAAUACCGUAUGUGCCCUUCGGGGGAAAGAUUUAUCGGCAAAUGAUCGGCCCGCGUUGGAUUAGCUAGUUGGUGGGGUAAAGGCUCACCAAGGCGACGAUCCAUAGCUGGUCUGAGAGGAUGAUCAGCCACACUGGGACUGAGACACGGCCCAGACUCCUACGGGAGGCAGCAGUGGGGAAUAUUGGACAAUGGGCGCAAGCCUGAUCCAGCCAUGCCGCGUGAGUGAUGAAGGCCCUAGGGUUGUAAAGCUCUUUCACCGGUGAAGAUAAUGACGGUAACCGGAGAAGAAGCCGGCUAYCU